AUGGCGACCGGCGCACGGGUGAGUAACACGUAUCCAACCUGCCGAUAACUCGGGGAUAGCCUUUCGAAAGAAAGAUUAAUACCCGAUGGUAUAAUCAGACCGCAUGGUCUUGUUAUUAAAGAAUUUCGGUUAUCGAUGGGGAUGCGUUCCAUUAGGCAGUUGGUGAGGUAACGGCUCACCAAACCUUCGAUGGAUAGGGGUUCUGAGAGGAAGGUCCCCCACAUUGGAACUGAGACACGGUCCAG
RNAcentral lists this ribosomal RNA (245 nucleotides) under uncultured bacterium. RNAcentral describes it as "partial 16S ribosomal RNA". It matches the Rfam family "Bacterial small subunit ribosomal RNA", at positions 88 to 334 of the family's 1533-position model. The record is from RNAcentral.